This 250-nucleotide ribosomal RNA is filed under the name uncultured bacterium. RNAcentral describes it as "partial 16S ribosomal RNA". It matches the Rfam family "Bacterial small subunit ribosomal RNA", at positions 524 to 773 of the family's 1533-position model. The record is from RNAcentral.
UACGGAGGGUGCAAGCGUUAAUCGGAAUCACUGGGCGUAAAGCGCGCGUAGGCUGUUUGGUAAGUCGGACGUGAAAGCCCUCGGCUCAACCGAGGAACUGCGUUCGAAACUGCUGAACUUGAGUCCUGGAGAGGGUGGCGGAAUUCCGGGUGUAGGAGUGAAAUCCGUAGAUAUCCGGAGGAACACCGGUGGCGAAGGCGGCCACCUGGACAGGUACUGACGCUGAGGUGCGAAAGUGUGGGGAUCAAAC